Molecule: ribosomal RNA, 374 nt
Filed under: uncultured organism
Description: partial 16S ribosomal RNA
Rfam family: Bacterial small subunit ribosomal RNA
Source: RNAcentral
GUAGGUGGCAAGCGUUGUCCGGAAUUAUUGGGCGUAAAGCGCGCGCAGGCGGUUCUUUAAGUCUGAUGUGAAAGCCCACGGCUCGACCGUGGAGGGUCAUUGGAAACUGGAGAACUUGAGUACAGAAGAGGAAAGCGGAAUUCCACGUGUAGCGGUGAAAUGCGUAGAGAUGUGGAGGAACACCAGUGGCGAAGGCGGCUUUCUGGUCUGUAACUGACGCUGAGGCGCGAAAGCGUGGGGAGCAAACAGGAUUAGAUACCCUGGUAGUCCACGCCGUAAACGAUGAGUGCUAAGUGUUAGGGGGGUUUUCCGCCCCCCUUAGUGCUGCAGCUAACGCAUUAAGCACUCCGCCUGGGAGUACGGCCGCAAGGCUG